This 450-nucleotide long non-coding RNA is filed under the name Cyanistes caeruleus (blue tit). RNAcentral describes it as "lncRNA (ENSCCEG00000011365.1)". Lineage: Eukaryota; Metazoa; Chordata; Aves; Passeriformes; Paridae. The record is from RNAcentral.
CUUUCUUGAUGCUGUAAUUAAGUAUAUUAUUUAUUCCAUACCCUUCAUGCAAUGAGUGACUUCUGCUAGCCUGCUUUUUGCAUGAUUUCCCUUUAGAGCUAAAACAGCUGGGAUAGUGAAAAAUAUAUUACUUGUCACCUCCCACCCCCAAUAUUGGCACAGUGUGUAAAGUACGAAAGCGAAAACACACAUGCAGCGUUCUAUCACAACGCUACGGGAGAAGCCUGAUGGAGAGGGGCUUGCGGAUGGGAGCGAGAGAAAACUACAUUUACAGUAAAUAAAAGCAUCACCCACAGAGGAUCUCUCAACUCAGUGACCUUUGAAGUUGCAAGGACACAUGGCCUAGACAGGUAAGGGAAUUACAUUACUCAUUAUUUUACAGUGGUUUGGGGCUGUGAAGCAUGCUUGUACAAGGAAAGAGCAGUUUGCAAAACUGUUUAAAAAGAACUG